RNAcentral lists this ribosomal RNA (19 nucleotides) under Fusarium oxysporum f. sp. niveum. RNAcentral describes it as "partial 18S ribosomal RNA". The record is from RNAcentral. Lineage: Eukaryota; Fungi; Ascomycota; Sordariomycetes; Hypocreales; Nectriaceae.
GUUACCUGGUUGAUUCUGC